CUCACUGCAACCUCCGCCUCCCGGGUUCACGCCAUUCUCCUGACUCAGCCUCCAGAGUAGCUGGGACUACAGAUGCCGGCCACCAUGCCUGGCUAAUUUCUUGUGUUUUUAGUAGAGACGGGGUUUCACUGUGUUAGCCAGGAUGGUCUUGAUCUCCUGACCUCGUGAUCCACCCGCCUCGGCCUCCCAAAGUGCUGGGAUUACAGGCAUGAGCCAUCGCGCCUAGCCAUUUUUUUUUUUUUUUUGAAAUGGAGUCUCGCUCUGUCACCUAAGCUGGAGUGCAGUGCUGUCAUCUCGGAUCACUGCAACCUCUGCCUUUCAGGUUCAAGCGAUUCUCGUGCUUUAGCCUCUUGAGUAGCUGGGAUUACAGGCAUGCACCACCACACCCAGCUAAUUUUUGUAUUUUUAGUAGACACAGGGUUUCGCCAUGUUGGCCAGGCUGGUCUUGAACUCCUGACCUCAGAUGAUCCACCUGCCUCGGCCUCCCAGAGUACUAGCAUUACAAGUGUGAGCCACUGUGCCCAGCCUGUUAAAUACUUUUGUAGGUAAAUGCCAUUACUCCCCUUUUAGCAAGGUGAAAGUAACUUUAACCUUUUAACAAGGUGAAAGUAACCUGUCCAAGGUCUAUAUUUAACAAAAGUCAAAGCUACUUUUGUUUUUAUCUUUAAAAGAUAAGGACUCAGCCUGGGCAUGGUGGCUCACGCCUGUAAUCCCAGCU
This 718-nucleotide long non-coding RNA is filed under the name Homo sapiens (human). RNAcentral describes it as "HSALNT0256218". The record is from RNAcentral. Lineage: Eukaryota; Metazoa; Chordata; Mammalia; Primates; Hominidae.